Molecule: small nuclear RNA, 199 nt
Filed under: Clohesyomyces aquaticus
Lineage: Eukaryota; Fungi; Ascomycota; Dothideomycetes; Pleosporales; Lindgomycetaceae
Description: U2 spliceosomal RNA
Rfam family: U2 spliceosomal RNA
About the family: U2 is a small nuclear RNA (snRNA) component of the spliceosome (involved in pre-mRNA splicing). Complementary binding between U2 snRNA (in an area lying towards the 5' end but 3' to hairpin I) and the branchpoint sequence (BPS) of the intron results the bulging out of an unpaired adenosine, on the BPS, which initiates a nucleophilic attack at the intronic 5' splice site, thus starting the first of two transesterification reactions that mediate splicing.
Source: Rfam by way of RNAcentral
CUGUCUUCUCUGCAUUCGGAUGUUGGCUGAUGUGUGUGGAUUGCAGUCUGUUCUUUCUAGUUUAAUCUCUAGAACGCAACUACGGUUGCAUUCAAGAUUAUUCUUCUUUUUGGAAUCAGUACCCCUCUCACUGGGCUUGCUUAUAGUUGGGGGCACGGUGACUCUGGCCUUGCACUACUGCUGGAUGUCGCGACUGAGG